This 760-nucleotide long non-coding RNA is filed under the name Linum usitatissimum (flax). Its description in RNAcentral is "long non-coding RNA (LUSI_LNC002813)". The record is from RNAcentral. Lineage: Eukaryota; Viridiplantae; Streptophyta; Magnoliopsida; Malpighiales; Linaceae.
GCUUCUAAGGUGUUAAACAUUUCCCGGAUGAUUUUGAACAGGUAAGGUACAAUAUUUGACGUAGACAGGAAAAACUCAAAAUUUCAGAAUUGAAAAUUAUGCUCUAUCUAAUCAAACCCGUAUGAAUUUUCUGAUAACAUGUGUGGUGAGGUGGUUGGGUCAAACAACAUUAGACCUCUUUACUCUGCCGACUUCUUUUUAACUUUCUUCGACAACUUCAUCGGGAUUUCCACCUGAUUCUUUUCACAAAGAGAAAAUAUGUUAGUACAAAGAUAAUCGAAUUCCAUCGAACACUAGGCAAGAACUCAAACAAUUAAAUCAAACAAACCGAAAUCUCGAUUUAAUAAUUUUUUCUCGAUUUUUUAAAACUGAAAUUUAAAAGCGUGAACAAAAGAAUACAUAGUUCUUAAAUAGAACGAAGGUGUGAUGCCAAACUGAUAUGAUCUAAAGUGCACAAUGAAGACGAACAGGACUAUAUAUAAAAUUCGGUUUCAAAUUGACGAACAAAAUCCAACAACUAGAUGGAAAGUUACAUAGUCGACCAAUCAACUCGAGUUACCCGGAGGCCCAACACAUAAUGUGAAUGGUGCCAUGAAGAGGGGAUUGUAACCGACUACGAUAUACUAGGAUCGUCUAUCCUAGCAACAACCUACUUUGGACAAGAUAGAAUAAAAAAUAGCAUAAGCCAAAAAUUACUUUGAUUAUUCUUGGGUGGUUUCUAACUAUGAUGGAUGCACCCUCUUUACAUAGGAGAGGGAGG